GAGGAAUAUUGGUCAAUGGACGAGAGUCUGAACCAGCCAAAUCGCGUGAAGGAAGACUGCCCUACGGGUUGUAAACUUCUUUUGUACAGGAAUAAAUGACAUUACGUGUAAUGUAUUGCAUGUACUGUACCAAUACGCAUCGGCUACCUCCGUGCCAGCAGCCGCGGUAAUACGGAGGAUGCGAGCGUUAUCCGGAUUUAUUGGGUUUAAAGGGUGGGCAGGCGGGAUUUUAAGUCAGCGGUGAAAUUUUCAGGCUCAACCUGAACACUGCCGUUGAAACUGUGAUUCUUGAGUAUGGAUGAAGUAGGCGGAAUGCGUUGUGUAGCGGUGACAUGCUUAGAUAUAAAGAGGAACUCCGAGUGCGUAGGCAGCUUACUAAGCCAUAACUGACGCUCAAGCACGAAAGCGAGGGGAUCAAACA
Molecule: ribosomal RNA, 421 nt
Filed under: uncultured Dysgonomonas sp.
Lineage: Bacteria; Pseudomonadati; Bacteroidota; Bacteroidia; Bacteroidales; Dysgonomonadaceae
Description: bacterial SSU rRNA
Rfam family: Bacterial small subunit ribosomal RNA
Source: RNAcentral